ACUUGCUCAAGCUCAAGAGUGCCUUCAAGAGCUCAUAAAUAACUUUACGUGUUUGCUUUCCAUGUGUCUUCCCCAGUAUUGUCUGGUCACCCUGGGGGCUCGCCGUCUCAGUCUGCUGACAAGAAGGUUGGCUGCUUCCUUCCCGGCUCUGCCCCGCAUUUCUUAGGACUGAGCCACAUAGAAGGCCAAGCUGCAGGGGACAUGGAGAAAGAGAGCAACUGGCUACAUCCCUCAGGACCACAGCUCCUCUGAAGAAACAGAAAGUUUUCACCUUCCCCUGUCUCCAUUUCAUUGUUCACUAUUCUGAGCAGCCUGAAAUAUUAACCGCCAAAGCCAUUAAUAUGAAAAGAGGGUGUAUCUUCUCCAGCAUGACCGGGACCAGAAAGCAGUGGCUGGAGCUGCCCAGAAUAGAAAGAGGAGGUGAUUUCACCCCAAGACAAAAGAAGCUACCUGUUUCCACCUGGGGACCUCCCACGUGUUAGCUCAAGAGAGAAAAAUGCAGGUGCAUAUGCCUUUCAAACUGUGGAAUGAAAUCAAGAAGGAAGGAGAAAGUAUCUUCAUGGUGAGGGCUCUCCUCUUCCCAGGAAGUAGGAGCCACCUCCACACUCCUGACCCCUCAGCUGGCUAAUGAUCAUUCCAGAGCAAACAUCACUAUUUCAUUAUGCAUUUUUCCUAUUUGCUUCUUGUCCAUUUCCCUUACACCUCUCAACUAGGAUGGAGUUCCAGGGGGGAGGCAGUUUUUGCCUUGUUUUUACUCUGUGAUUACUGCACCCAAAACCCU
RNAcentral lists this long non-coding RNA (781 nucleotides) under Mustela putorius furo (domestic ferret). Its description in RNAcentral is "lncRNA (ENSMPUG00000029400.1)". Lineage: Eukaryota; Metazoa; Chordata; Mammalia; Carnivora; Mustelidae. The record is from RNAcentral.